CGGCCGCGUCGACUGAUCAUUCCCAGCACGCUGGCGGCGCGGGCGGACAAGUCAAUGAGCCGAUCGCCCACAUAGGGACCGCGGUCAUUAAUGCGGACGAUUACGGUGCGGCCGUUGUCGAGAUUCCUCACCAUGACUCUAGUUCCGAAGGGCAAGUGGCGGUGGGCUGCGGUCAAAUCAUCUUGGUUAAAACGCUCGCCGCUGGCGCUGAGGUUGCCGUUAAAGCCUGGGCCGUACCAGGAAGCCCAGCCGCUGAGCCGCACUUGAACUGGGCCCAGAGACAGCACGGGGGGUUCUGGUUGGGGUUUGCCUGCGACUUCUUCCAGGGGUGGGGCGUUGCCUAGCAGCUUGUUGGUGGGGUGAUGGCCUACCAAGGCGGUGACGGGUAGCCGGCCUGAGAGGGUGGACGGUCACACUGGGACUGAGACACGGCCCAGACUCCUACGGGAGGCAGCAGUGGGGAAUAUUGCACAAUGGGCGCAAGCCUGA
Molecule: ribosomal RNA, 489 nt
Filed under: uncultured bacterium
Lineage: Bacteria
Description: bacterial SSU rRNA
Rfam family: Bacterial small subunit ribosomal RNA (bases 252-489)
Source: RNAcentral